Molecule: ribosomal RNA, 572 nt
Filed under: Colletotrichum gloeosporioides
Lineage: Eukaryota; Fungi; Ascomycota; Sordariomycetes; Glomerellales; Glomerellaceae
Description: eukaryotic LSU rRNA
Rfam family: 5.8S ribosomal RNA (bases 207-360)
Source: RNAcentral
UAACUCGAAUGAUCCUCUCCUCCCGAUGUUUAAUUUAAGUGGGGGGUUUUUCCUCCUUCGUGGGGAAACCUCCCUAAAAAAAGGGGUGGUUGGCAAGCAUGCCUCCCUCCCGGCCUCCCGCCCCCCGGGCGGGUCGGCGCCCGCCGGAGGAUAACCAAACUCUGAUUUAACGACGUUUCUUCUGAGUGGUACAAGCAAAUAAUCAAAACUUUUAACAACGGAUCUCUUGGUUCUGGCAUCGAUGAAGAACGCAGCGAAAUGCGAUAAGUAAUGUGAAUUGCAGAAUUCAGUGAAUCAUCGAAUCUUUGAACGCACAUUGCGCCCGCCAGCAUUCUGGCGGGCAUGCCUGUUCGAGCGUCAUUUCAACCCUCAAGCUCUGCUUGGUGUUGGGGCCCUACAGCUGAUGUAGGCCCUCAAAGGUAGUGGCGGACCCUCCCGGAGCCUCCUUUGCGUAGUAACUUUACGUCUCGCACUGGGAUCCGGAGGGACUCUUGCCGUAAAACCCCCAAUUUUCCAAAGGUUGACCUCGGAUCAGGUCAGGAAUACCGCGCUGAACUAUUUUUCUCAUUUCA